UGGGUUGUGGCUCAGUGGUAGAGUGCUUGCCUCGGAUGUGUGAGGCACUGGGUUCGAUCCUCAGCACCACUUAA
Molecule: transfer RNA, 74 nt
Filed under: Marmota monax (woodchuck)
Lineage: Eukaryota; Metazoa; Chordata; Mammalia; Rodentia; Sciuridae
Description: tRNA.Pro
Rfam family: tRNA
About the family: Transfer RNA (tRNA) molecules are approximately 80 nucleotides in length. Their secondary structure includes four short double-helical elements and three loops (D, anti-codon, and T loops). Further hydrogen bonds mediate the characteristic L-shaped molecular structure. tRNAs have two regions of fundamental functional importance: the anti-codon, which is responsible for specific mRNA codon recognition, and the 3' end, to which the tRNAs corresponding amino acid is attached (by aminoacyl-tRNA synthetases). tRNAs cope with the degeneracy of the genetic code in two manners: having more than one tRNA (with a specific anti-codon) for a particular amino acid; and 'wobble' base-pairing, i.e. permitting non-standard base-pairing at the 3rd anti-codon position.
Source: RNAcentral